CCCUUAGAUGUUCUGGGCCGCACACGCGCUACACUGAAGGAGACAGCGUGUACUCCUGGAUCGAAAGAUUUGGGUAACCCGCGAAUCUCCUUCGUGCUAGGGAUUGAGGUUUGCAAUUAUCCUUCAUGAACGAGGAAUUCCCAGUAAGUGCAAGUCAUAAGCUUGCGCUGACUACGUCCCUGCCCUUUGUACACACCGCCCGUCGCUACUACCGAUUGAAUGAUUUAGUGAGGACUUCGGACUGGGACCGAUGCGGCUUUCGGGCUGCGUCGGUAUUCUGGAAAGAUGUCCAAACUGUAUCAUUUAGAGGAAGUAAAAGUCGUAACA
This 327-nucleotide ribosomal RNA is filed under the name uncultured eukaryote. Its description in RNAcentral is "partial 18S ribosomal RNA". It matches the Rfam family "Eukaryotic small subunit ribosomal RNA", at positions 1470 to 1796 of the family's 1831-position model. The record is from RNAcentral.